GCUGCUGCUAACUAGGACUCCUAGAGGUUCCCCAAGGAAAAAGUUCACCUACUCCAUCCCAGAAGACGACAGUGGAUCCAGCCUGGGCCUUCAUCCCAAUGCUGCCGGGAGCUUAAAGCAGUGUGACCAGAAGUUCUCCAUCACCCCAUAAAGCCCAGCACCUAAGCGAUCCACCUUUGUUCCUCCCCUUCUCUGGCUCUCCUGCACCCUGCUGUGGCUCUCCGGAGAGUGAAGCAGGGUCCCAAGACGACAAUCUCAGGGCAUANNCUGGAUUCACAAUAUUAAAAUCUGCUGACCGCUGGUCUGAUGUGAACAAGAAACAGGGUUCAUUGGGUCAGUCUAGGCC
Molecule: long non-coding RNA, 346 nt
Filed under: Capra hircus (goat)
Lineage: Eukaryota; Metazoa; Chordata; Mammalia; Artiodactyla; Bovidae
Description: lncRNA (ENSCHIG00010016141.1)
Source: RNAcentral